CUUUAGGCUACGGUGCUGGGAAGCACUUUAAGCCAGAACAGUCUGAUACAAGAGCUUUUUGCUCCCUUACUCCAAGGUGCUAUGAUUGACCAGUGAUCACAAAUAUUGUUUCUACACCAAGGGCUCCCUGCUCCAGUCUCCCCUCUUGGCACAGCAUCAGCAUGGUCAACACCCCCAGCUUCAACAAGACAAUCCACAAAAUUGGCAUCACAAUUUUUCUGCUGCUCUAAGCAGAAGUCCAAACAUAGAGAGGCGAGUAGUAACACCCAAAAAAAAGACCCCUAGUUCCCUUCCCACUCCAGAUCAGCACAGAGGUGUGACACAGGAGUAUCUGUGGGACUAACUUCCAGAGACACGUCUGCAACAGUCGCUUCCAGGAAAGCCACCUGCUUCCACUGCAUGCUGCAAUGGCUCAUCAGGCUCGUACGCGUGUGAUGCAGUCAGAGAGAAGAGGAAGUCCUGACCCAUUUGGUGUCAGCACGAGUUUCUGUUCUCCGAUGACUCCUACCUACCCCAAACUCCUCUCAGAGAGAAACAAGAGCAUAGCAGCUACAUCAGCUAGCAGCAAUGCAGCAAAAGCUCUGGCACAGAGGGGAAUGGAAAUGGAGAGGGCCUGCAUGGGGAAUGGAGAGCCAGAAACAAGGACUUAUGAAGACACCAGUCUCCUGUCACUCCAAUCAGUGUUCUCUGGGAUUUUACUUUUCAGGUAACAUGUCAAAUUAGACAAGAGCCCUACAGUACAUUAAACCUCCUCUGCAGAGAUUUUGGGUGAUCUCUUUUUGCUGCUAGUGUAGUUUUGAAAAAAAACCAACCAAAAACCAAAAUACAAUUGGCAUUAUAACCUGAAAUGGAGUCAGU
Passer domesticus (house sparrow) is the source of this 858-nucleotide long non-coding RNA. RefSeq lists it as uncharacterized. The record is from RefSeq and is a predicted model, not a curated record. The transcript is spliced from 4 exons. Lineage: Eukaryota; Metazoa; Chordata; Aves; Passeriformes; Passeridae.